Molecule: ribosomal RNA, 592 nt
Filed under: uncultured bacterium
Lineage: Bacteria
Description: bacterial SSU rRNA
Rfam family: Bacterial small subunit ribosomal RNA
Source: RNAcentral
CCUACGGGAGGCAGCAGUGGGGAAUAUUGGACAAUGGGCGAAAGCCUGAUCCAGCAAUGCCGCGUGAGUGAUGAAGGCCUUCGGGUCGUAAAGCUCUUUUACCAGGGAUGAUAAUGACAGUACCUGGAGAAUAAGCUCCGGCUAACUCCGUGCCAGCAGCCGCGGUAAUACGGAGGGAGCUAGCGUUGUUCGGAAUUACUGGGCGUAAAGAGUACGUAGGCGGUUAUUCAAGUCAGAGGUGAAAGCCCGGGGCUCAACCCCGGAACUGCCUUUGAAACUAGAUAACUAGAGUCUUGGAGAGGUUAGUGGAAUUCCGAGUGUAGAGGUGAAAUUCGUAGAUAUUCGGAAGAACACCAGUGGCGAAGGCGACUAACUGGACAAGUACUGACGCUGAGGUACGAAAGCGUGGGAGCAAACAGGAUUAGAUACCCUGGUAGUCCACGCCGUAAACGAUGAUAACUAGUUGUUCGGUCACUUGGUGACUGAGUGACGCAGCUAACGCAUUAAGUUAUCCGCCUGGGGAUACGGUCGCAAGAUUAAAACUCAAAAGAUUAGACGGACGNGAGAGAGCGACGACGACGACGAGGAGGAG